RNAcentral lists this ribosomal RNA (227 nucleotides) under uncultured bacterium. Its description in RNAcentral is "partial 16S ribosomal RNA". It matches the Rfam family "Bacterial small subunit ribosomal RNA", at positions 109 to 334 of the family's 1533-position model. The record is from RNAcentral.
GGUAACACGUAUCCAACCUGCCGUCUACUCUUGGCCAGCCUUCUGAAAGGAAGAUUAAUCCAGGAUGGCAUCAUGAGUUCACAUGUCCGCAUGAUUAAAGGUAUUUUCCGGUAGACGAUGGGGAUGCGUUCCAUUAGAUAGUAGGCGGGGUAACGGCCCACCUAGUCAACGAUGGAUAGGGGUUCUGAGAGGAAGGUCCCCCACAUUGGAACUGAGACACGGUCCAA